UUCCAGACUCCUACGGGAGGCAGCAGUGGGGAAUAUUGGGCAAUGGACGCAAGUCUGACCCAGCAACGCCGCGUGAAGGAAGAAGGCUUUCGGGUUGUAAACUUCUUUUAAGGGGGAAGAGCAGAAGACGGUACCCCUUGAAUAAGCCACGGCUAACUACGUGCCAGCAGCCGCGGUAAUACGUAGGAUCCGAGCGUUAUCCGGAUUUAUUGGGUUUAAAGGGAGCGUAGGCCGGUCUUUAAGCGUGCCGUGAAAUUUUGUGGCUCAACCAUGAGAGUGCGGCGGGAACUGGAGACCUUGAGUGCGCGGAAGGCAGGCGGAAUUCGUGGUGUAGCGGUGAAAUGCUUAGAUAUCACGAAGAACCCCGAUUGCGAAGGCAGCCUGCCGCAGCGUUACUGACGCUGAAGCUCGAAAGCGCGGGUAUCGAACAGGAUUAGAUACCCGAGUA
This 448-nucleotide ribosomal RNA is filed under the name uncultured bacterium. RNAcentral's name for it is "bacterial SSU rRNA". It matches the Rfam family "Bacterial small subunit ribosomal RNA", at positions 329 to 792 of the family's 1533-position model. The record is from RNAcentral.